CUCUCAACCCUGUGACAUACCUAUAACGUUGCCUCGGCGGGAACAGACGGCCCCGUAACACGGGCCGCCCCCGCCAGAGGACCCCCUAACUCUGUUUCUAUAAUGUUUCUUCUGAGUAAACAAGCAAAUAAAUUAAAACUUUCAACAACGGAUCUCUUGGCUCUGGCAUCGAUGAAGAACGCAGCGAAAUGCGAUAAGUAAUGUGAAUUGCAGAAUUCAGUGAAUCAUCGAAUCUUUGAACGCACAUUGCGCCCGCCAGUAUUCUGGCGGGCAUGCCUGUUCGAGCGUCAUUACAACCCUCAGGCCCCCGGGCCUGGCGUUGGGGAUCGGCGGAAGCCCCCUGCGGGCACAACGCCGUCCCCCAAAUACAGUGGCGGUCCCGCCGCAGCUUCCAUUGCGUAGUAGCUAACACCUCGCAACUGGAGAGCGGCGCGGCCACGCCGUAAAACACCCAACUUCUGAAUGUUGACCUCGAAUCAGGUAGGAAUACCCGCUGAACUUAAGCAUAUCAAUAAGCGGAGGAA
This 524-nucleotide ribosomal RNA is filed under the name Fusarium solani. RNAcentral's name for it is "eukaryotic LSU rRNA". The stretch from base 137 to 290 matches the Rfam family "5.8S ribosomal RNA". The record is from RNAcentral. Lineage: Eukaryota; Fungi; Ascomycota; Sordariomycetes; Hypocreales; Nectriaceae.